RNAcentral lists this long non-coding RNA (950 nucleotides) under Homo sapiens (human). Its description in RNAcentral is "long intergenic non-protein coding RNA 882". The record is from RNAcentral. Lineage: Eukaryota; Metazoa; Chordata; Mammalia; Primates; Hominidae.
GGCGUUGGCCUCCGCGGCCCGUGCGAGUGCGCCCUUCUCGGGUCCCCUAGGUCGCGGGGCAGCCGGGGCGGAAGGGGCUUGUUCAUUAUUUUGAGAGUUUGUUGUGAACGUCAUAACCUUUCGUCCUUAAAUAUUGCCGAUACUUGACCUACGCAAGAGACAAUGUCAUGUGAUUCAGCCUAAUAUCUCAGAGGAUGCAGCAUUCAAGGUUCUAUCUUGGAAGCAGAGACUGUGCCCUCACCAGAUGCUGAACCUGCUGAGCACCCUGAUCUUCCACUUCACCUUCAUCAGAACUGGACGCGCAUGAAAUUUGGUGCCGUGACUCGGAUCGGCGGACCUCCCUUAGGAGAUCAAUCCCCUGUCCUCCUGCUCUUUGCUCCAUGAGAAAGAUCCACCUACGACCUAAGGUCCUCAGACCAACCAGCCCAAGAAACAUCUCACCAAUUUCAAAUCCGAAAUCCUUCAUCUAAUCUGGCAAACACAUGUGGCAGGUUUUUCUCACCGCAUAAAAUAUGUUAUAGAGUAGUCCAUCUAUUUCUCUUCCAUGGAAGAGUUCAUCUGGUAGAUUGGACUACCACUUUUCCUUGUCCCGAGUUCUCAUCCCGCAUCCAGGAAGAAUGAGGUUAUGUGGACACCUGGAGGGUGAGCGAGGCUGAGAAAAGCUUUAUUGGGCAACCAGACAGCUCUCAGAAGAGAGGUGACCUGAAGCAGGAUGAGAGACGUUGAGCUCCAAACUCAGACUAAGAAACUAUAAGAAAUAUGCUUCAAUGAAGAAGCUGUUCAAAAAUGAGUAAGAUUGUUUCCUUGAGGCAAGAAAGAAAUGCAGAAGUCUUGACAAACAAAAGAAGAGAUUGCCUUAGGGAAGGGGACUACAGUGAACACUGAGAACUUCUUCCCACGCUAAGACAAUCUUUACAGAGCAAGACUCCGUCUCAAAAAAAAAAAAAAAA